RNAcentral lists this ribosomal RNA (860 nucleotides) under Vreelandella aquamarina. RNAcentral's name for it is "bacterial SSU rRNA". It matches the Rfam family "Bacterial small subunit ribosomal RNA", at positions 517 to 1379 of the family's 1533-position model. The record is from RNAcentral. Lineage: Bacteria; Pseudomonadati; Pseudomonadota; Gammaproteobacteria; Oceanospirillales; Halomonadaceae.
GCGGUAAUACGGAGGGUGCAAGCGUUAAUCGGAAUUACUGGCGUAAAGCGCGCGUAGUGGCUUGAUAAGCCGGUUGUGAAAGCCCCGGGCUCAACUGGGAACGGCAUCCGGGAACUGUCAAGCUAGAGUGCAGGAGAGGAAGGUAGAAUUCCCGGUGUAGCGGUGAAAUGCGUAGAGAUCGGGAGGAAUACCAGUGGCGAAGGCGGCCUUCUGGACUGACACUGACACUGAGGUGCGAAAGCGUGGGUAGCAAACAGGAUUAGAUACCCUGGUAGUCACGCCGUAAACGAUGUCGACCAGCCGUUGGGUGCCUAGCGCACUUUGUGGCGAAGUUAACGCGAUAAGUCGACCGCCUGGGGAGUACGGCCGCAAGGUUAAAACUCAAAUGAAUUGACGGGGGCCCGCACAAGCGGUGGAGCAUGUGGUUUAAUUCGAUGCAACGCGAAGAACCUUACCUACUCUUGACAUCCUGCGAAUUCGGUAGAGAUACCUUAGUGCCUUCGGGAACGCAGAGACAGGUGCUGCAUGGCUGUCGUCAGCUCGUGUUGUGAAAUGUUGGGUUAAGUCCCGUAACGAGCGCAACCCUUGUCCUUAUUUGCCAGCGCGUAAUGGCGGGAACUCUAAGGAGACUGCCGGUGACAAACCGGAGGAAGGUGGGGACGACGUCAAGUCAUCAUGGCCCUUACGAGUAGGGCUACACACGUGCUACAAUGGUCGGUACAAAGGGUUGCCAACUCGCGAGAGUGAGCCAAUCCCGAAAAGCCGAUCUCAGUCCGGAUCGGAGUCUGCAACUCGACUCCGUGAAGUCGGAAUCGCUAGUAAUCGUAGAUCAGAAUGCUACGGUGAAUACGUUCCCGGGC